RNAcentral lists this ribosomal RNA (282 nucleotides) under Gambierdiscus australes. Its description in RNAcentral is "partial Bacterial large subunit ribosomal RNA". It matches the Rfam family "Bacterial large subunit ribosomal RNA", at positions 1378 to 1662 of the family's 2925-position model. The record is from RNAcentral. Lineage: Eukaryota; Dinophyceae; Gonyaulacales; Pyrocystaceae.
GGUGAGUCGGCCCCUAAGGCGAGGGCGAAAGCCGUAGUCGAUGGGAAACUGGUUAAUAUUCCAGUACUUUUGAUAACUGCGAUGGGGUGACGAAGAAGGUUAGGUGGGCCUGGCGAUGGUUGUCCAGGUUCAAGCAUGUAGGCUGAUUUCUUAGGCAAAUCCGGGAAAUCAAGGCCGAGAUGUGAUGUCGAGCUCUCUUUUGAGCGAAGCCAUUGAUACCACGCUUCCAGGAAAAGCCUCUAAGCUUCAGGUUAUCGAAAACCGUACCCCAAACCGACACAG